Molecule: ribosomal RNA, 253 nt
Filed under: uncultured bacterium
Lineage: Bacteria
Description: partial 16S ribosomal RNA
Rfam family: Bacterial small subunit ribosomal RNA
Source: RNAcentral
CACGUAGGGCGCAAGCGUUGUCCGGAAUUAUUGGGCGUAAAGAGCUCGUAGGUGGUUUGUUACGUCCGCUGUGAAAUCCUAGGGCUUAACCCUGGGCUUGCAGUGGAUACGGGCAGACUAGAGGUAGGUAGGGGAGAAUGGAAUUCCUGGUGUAGCGGUGAAAUGCGCAGAUAUCAGGAGGAACACCGGUGGCGAAGGCGGCUCUCUGGGACGGUACUGACGCUGAGACGCGAAAGCGUGGGGAGCGAACAGG